GACGAACGCUGGCGGCGUGCUUAACACAUGCAAGUCGAACGGAAAGGCCUCUUUCGGGGGGUACUCGCGUGGCGAACGGGCGAGUAACACACGAGUAACCUGCCCUCGUCUCUGGGAUAACUCCAGGAAACUGGGGCUAAUACCGGACAGGAGCUCCUGUUGCACGGUGGGGGCGGGAGAGAUUCGGGGGUUUGGGGUGGGCUCGCGGCUUAUCAGCUUGUUGGUGGGGUAUUGGUUUAUCAAGGGCUUGGCGGGUAGGCGGCCUGGGGAGGUGAUCGGCCACAUUGGGACUGAGGUGAGGCCCAAGCUCCUACGGGGGGGAACAGUGGGGAAGAUUGCACGAUGGGUGGAAGCCUGGUGCAGCAACGCCGUGGGCGGGAUGACUGCCUUCGGGUUGUAAAACGCUUUCGCUCAUGACGAAGCUUUGUGUGACGGUAGUGGGUAAAGAAGCACCGGCUAACUACGUG
Molecule: ribosomal RNA, 467 nt
Filed under: uncultured bacterium
Lineage: Bacteria
Description: partial 16S ribosomal RNA
Rfam family: Bacterial small subunit ribosomal RNA
Source: RNAcentral